UCCGUGUUCGCCUUGCUGAUCCAAGUGGAGCCCCAUCCGCAGCCAGCGACCCCGGAGUCUUUCAGAUCCCGUGGGGUUCUGCAAAGUCCCCGAGGACCGACUUUUGGAAGAAGUCCUCUGUCCUCCCCACAGCCCAGCACAUGAAGGUCAACCUCCCAGAAGGCAAAAAGGCACCGAAGGAGAAGUCAGAAUUGAAUGGUAACAGAUCACUGGGAUGCCGUCGUCUCUCCAGAGCAAGCUCCUGCCAUCCUGCCCGGCCAGUGACCUUAAGCCCAACAUGCAGAGAAGGCCACACUGAGAACCGAGAAAUGAUUUAUCCACUGCGAUUGCUCUGCCCUGGCCCCUUCUCUAAAGCAAAGACUGACAACGGUGCUGAAUUAUGGAUGCACUUUUCAUGAUAUGUAAUACAGUUGAGAGGAAAGGUGUUGGGACCCUCACACCAUUUCACCUCUCCAAAGAGACUGGGCUUGAACAACAAUCCCAGAGGGUGAGACUGAUGCUGAACUAUGACCCUCAAUUUACAAAUCAUUUUUCAAAAGAAUAAAACAAAAGUUUAAACAUA
Non-coding RNA from Ictidomys tridecemlineatus (thirteen-lined ground squirrel), 562 nucleotides. The record is from RefSeq and is a predicted model, not a curated record. NCBI's taxonomy places the organism in Eukaryota, Metazoa, Chordata, Mammalia, Rodentia, Sciuridae.